GACGAACGCUGGCGGCGUGCUUAACACAUGCAAGUCGAACGGAAAGGCCCUGCUUUUGUGGGUUGCUCGAGUGGCGAACGGGUGAGUAACACGUGAGUAACCUGCCCUUGACUUUGGGAUAACUUCAGGAAACUGGGGCUAAUACCGGAUAGGAUCUCCUGCUGCAUGGUGGUGGUUGGAAAGUUUCGGCGGUUGGGGAUGGACUCGCGGCUAAUCAGCUUGUUGGUGGGGUAGUGGCUUACCAAGGCUUUGACGGGUAGCCGGCCUGAGAGGGUGACCGGCCACAUUGGGACUGAGAUACGGCCCAGACUCCUACGGGAGGCAGCAGUGGGGAAUAUUGCACAAUGGGCGGAAGCCUGAUGCAGAAACGCCGCGUGCGGGAUGACGGCUUUCGGGUUGUAAACAGCUUUCGACUGUGACGAAGCGUGAGUGACGGUAAUGGGUAAAGAAGCAACGGCUAACUACGUG
Molecule: ribosomal RNA, 468 nt
Filed under: uncultured bacterium
Lineage: Bacteria
Description: partial 16S ribosomal RNA
Rfam family: Bacterial small subunit ribosomal RNA
Source: RNAcentral